RNA transcript from Drosophila yakuba, 1341 nucleotides. It is a transcript of the gene named glucosamine-6-phosphate isomerase, with no coding region annotated. The record is from RefSeq and is a predicted model, not a curated record. The transcript is spliced from 6 exons. Lineage: Eukaryota; Metazoa; Arthropoda; Insecta; Diptera; Drosophilidae.
CGCAGAGCGUAUUUCAACCGCAGCCGCAAAAACAAACUCAAACUCGCAGCUAAUCGCUGCAUAAAUUGCUGUUCGAAUUGAACAAUUGAACAGUCUCAGUUCGCAGCUCAGAUCGGAAAUAAGCUACAAAAGCCAGUUGAAGCAAAAAUCAAAUAAUAAUAAUUAGUAGCAGUUUGCAUUCGCGUGUUUUGAAGCUUCGAAAUGAGAUUGGUGAUCUUGGAAACCAGCGACUCGGUUGGCAAGUGGGCAGCCAAAUAUGUGAUGAAACGUAUCAAUGACUUCCAGCCGAGCGCCGACAGAUACUUUGUUUUGGGCCUGCCCACGGGUUCCACUCCAUUGGGGAUGUACAAGGAGCUGAUCGAGUUUCACAAGCAGGGCAAGGUAUCCUUUCAGUAUGUGAAAACCUUCAAUAUGGAUGAGUAUGUGGGACUGGCCAGAGAUCACCACGAAAGCUAUCACUACUUCAUGUGGAACAACUUCUUCAAACACAUCGACAUUGAACCCAGGAAUGUGCACAUUUUGGAUGGCAAUGCAGCUGAUCUGGUGGCCGAGUGCAAUAAGUUCGAGGAUCAGAUCCGCGAGGCUGGCGGAGUGGAGCUGUUUAUCGGUGGCAUUGGACCCGAUGGCCAUAUUGCCUUCAAUGAGCCCGGAUCCUCGUUGGUGUCCAGGACUCGCGUGAAAACUCUGGCACAGGAUACACUGGAAGCGAAUGCCCGUUUCUUCGAAAACGAUAUGAGCAAGGUGCCAAAGCAGGCCCUAACCGUGGGCGUUGGCACUGUGAUGGACUCCAAGGAGGUGAUGAUCCUGAUCACCGGAGCUCACAAGGCAUUCGCCCUGUACAAGGCCAUCGAGGAGGGUGUGAAUCACAUGUGGACCGUUAGUGCCUUCCAGCAGCAUGCAAACACACUGAUGAUCUGCGACGAGGAUGCCACUUUGGAGCUGAGAGUUAAGACCGUGAAAUACUUCAAGGUAUGCCCGCCAACGAUUUCGUCGAUUUUGUAGAGAACUGGGCAUAGACGAACUGGUAACCUGGUGCUAAGGUGGCUUCCGAAGGUGUUGGUCUAAUAACCCCCUAAUCAAACUACCAUUGCUGCCUAAUCUUUAGAUCCCAAAGUGCAUAAAUGGGCACUCUUAUAUGGUUGUUACUUAGGUCUAAGAAUUUGCAUGCCUAUAAGCUUGUAAUAUAUGCUUCCACGGUUGUAGGGCAUUCUCAGAGAUCUAGACGAAGGCUCCCAACUGGAGGGCUACAAAAACUGAUUUUACGUAAAAGCCUUAUGGACGUACAUUCCAAGCUGAUAGAGCAACAAAAGACGACGUAACCCCCGAUAACCAAGGGAAUAU